This 5811-nucleotide ribosomal RNA is filed under the name Triticum aestivum (bread wheat). Its description in RNAcentral is "partial small subunit ribosomal RNA". The record is from RNAcentral. Lineage: Eukaryota; Viridiplantae; Streptophyta; Magnoliopsida; Poales; Poaceae.
AUGAAUGACACUAAUCCCUCGGUUCCAUCUUUCAGGAGGCAGAUUCUGCUCGGUCUCUCUUGGUUUAGGCCAACGCAGAUGGUUGAUCCUGACGAUCUUCGGAGGGCGAUCGGUCUUCCUGUUACUGCUUCGCUGGGCCCUGUUGGUCCCCUCCUCCGGCAACUCCAUGAGGGGGUCAGUGAGGAUGAGAUUCAGAGGCUCACGGUGCAUUUCGAUGGAUUAUGCGUCUCCCUCAUGCAUCAGUCAGAGGUGGAGAAACCUAGCUUCGCCGCCAAGUGCUGGAUGAGUGAGGUCCGGGAACUUUGCUACGACAGCAAAAACUACUUCGACGAUGCCCCGUUUAUUUCCAAGCAAGACGACGACGAUGAUGAUGCCCAGCUCACUCCAGAAGAGAAGCAAGAAAAUGCCCAGUUCGAGUUCAAGAUGAUCGAGGCUCGCGCGGAGCAUGCGUAUGGGAGAAGGGGAAGGUACGGAUUCGACCAGAAAAGCGUCAAUAAGACCACUAAGAUUCCAUCAACAGGACGCCGGCUCCCAGUUCUCCAUCCGGAACUAAUUGAUCGUUGCCGAAUGGAUCAACUUGACACCUUGCUUCGUAAGGAUGAGGAGCAGCAGCUCAAGGUCGUAUCUCUGGUAGGAUUUGAGGGUGUCGGUAAAACCACACUUGCCAAGAGGUUAUACCACCAUAGAGGUGGGCAGUUCAACUGCCGGGCUUUUGUGCGGGUGUCUCCCAACCCGGACAUGAGGAGGCUUCUAACCACCAUAUUCACCCAGAUUCAAUUGCCGACCUCUUCUUCUUCUUCUUCUUCUUCUUCUUCUUCUUCUUCUUCUUCUUCUUCUUCUUCUUCUUCUUCUUCUUCUUCUUCUGGUACUGUCUCUCAGCCUGCUUGCUGCUUGGAUGCGCAGGCCCUCAUCAUAAAUAUUGCAAAAUAUCUCCAAUCAAGAAGGUACUUAAUCAUAAUUGAUGACUUAUGGAGUACUUCAGCAUGGGAUGUUAUUAGGCGUGCUUUUCCUGAUGGUGAUUGUCACAGCAGAAUUAUAACAACCACCCAAUUCGGGGAUGUAGCAUCGGCAUGUUGUAGUUAUCAGUCAAAGUACGUAUUUCAUAUGGAACCUCUAAAAUAUGAUCAAUCACGAAAAUUGUUUUUCAGUAUAGUGUUUGGCUCUGAAGAUAAAGUCAGUUUUCCUGAGGAUUUCAGAGAAGUCUCAUCUGAGAUUGUCAAGAAAUGUGGUGGUUUACCAUUAUCAAUUAUAAAUAUAGCCAGCUUGUUGCCAACAGAAGAAAGCGAAAUAAACCUCCAGCAAUGGAUGGACAUUCGAGAUUAUAUGCCUUCCACUAUGAGGACAAAUCCUACGCCCGAAGGGAUAAAACAAGUUCUAAACCUUGUCUACAAUAAUCUUUCCCCUGAACUGAAGACAUGCUUGCUGUAUCUUGUUGUGAAUCCAGAGGGCUACAUGGUGAGUAAGGAUGAUUUGGUGAAGCAAUGGGUAAUUGAAGGUUUUAUACGGGAAGGACAAAACAAAGAGGAAAUUGCAGGGGGUUAUUUUGAUGAGCUUGUCAGGAGAGGCAUGAUCCAGGCUGUAGACAUCAAUUACCGAGGGGUGCUGUCAUGUACACUUCACCACAUGGUACAUGAUCUUAUUGUGAAGAAAUCCAUUGAGGAAAAUUUCAUAGUUAUCCAGGACUGUUUUCAAUCAGCUAUAGGUCUUCCUGACAAAGUUCGUCGUCUGUCUGUCCAAUUCGGUGGUGCAAGGAGCGCAAAUAUACCGAUGGGAGUCAUGAUGUCUGAAGUUCGAUCACUUGCAUUUUUUGGAUUCUAUGGAUGCACGGACUUCAUUGAGGAGUGUAAGCUUCUUCGAGUUCUAAUUCUCCAUGUGUGGGCUGAUGAAGAUAAAGUGCCUUUUGACCUCUCUGAAAUUAUUAGUAAACUACUUCCAUUGAGAUAUGUGAAGAUUGCAUGUAAUAUCGCUGUCAAACUUCCAGCCGAGAUUCAAGUUCUGCAAUUCCUGGAGAUACUGGAAGUGGAUACACCAGUAGUUGCUAUCCCAUCGGAUAUUGGAGGACUCAGCAGGCUGUCCAGUCUAAAGAUUGCAGUUACAGAGCUAUUGAGGGAAGACAUUUGUAUCCUCCAAAAAUUGGCAGCCCUCACUACUCUUUCAGUGGACGUGAAGACAUCACCCACUGAAUGGAUCGUCUUUGGAAAGGGAGGAUUCUUGGUCCUCACUUUCUUCACAUUCAGGUGCAGUGCACCUCGUCUGCUAAUUGAAGAUAGUGCAAUACCUAAAUGCGAGAAGCUACACCUAUGUUUAAAUGGCCACGAAGCAUCUCCUCGAGAUGGUAAGAAGCCUAUCACCAUCGAGCACUUGGCAAGCCUUAAAGAGAUAUCUGUAAAAAUUUGGGGUGCAGUUGCUAACAAGGGGUCCGCCUUGACGAAUGUUAUUACCAAUGAUGCAAGAAAUCCUAUUCCUAACGUUCAAUUGAUGGGUGAUACCAGUGGUGUAGAAGUCCACAUGAUCUUCGACCUCAACGAUGGUGAUUAUGCUGAAUUCAUCCGCCUCCUUAUUGGCGUGCUCGUGAGGUACGACGACGGUGAACACAUCCAAGGGUAUCCUCCUGUUCUGGGUAAGCAACUGUUCCCGAAAGAGCCAAACAGGUGGAUGCGCAUCAAGCUAGUGGCCGGCAUGACUGAAACAAUCCUUGCUGUUCGGGAUGACAAUCUGAACCUCAUUGGCUUCCAGGCUAAAAACGGAAGGUGGUACGAGUUGGGGUUCGCAGGGAGGAGCACACGAAUGCUUCCUGGAUCCACCUUUUUAGACUGCGAUUGUGACUAUACAGACUUGCUACAGGUAAAAGCUACCUGUCUGGAAGAAAGAAACCGACUAGUCAGGGAAGAAAUGGUGAAGAUAGAGCUAGGCAAGACCUCCUCAAUUGAAGCCGUGGGUAUUCUCUCGGGCUACAAUAAUAAAACGGAAGGUGUGGCAGCUGAUCGAGACACCAGGCGGGCACUGGUGCGCCUAAUGCUCAUGUUGUGCGAGGCCACGAGGAUGACCCCAUUCUUUGACACCGUGCUGGCUAGCUGGAGCGACACACAAGGAGGGAAUAGCCAUAUCUUGAGAGAGGACCAGGCAAUGUACGUUUGGUACUGGGGAAAAAUGUCGGCCGUGCUGCUGGAGUGGGAGGCAACAGGUUAUAAGAGUUGGGGACCAAAUGAGACCACCGCGAUGCUGGCCAAUGAAAUCAAUGUCAAAUCUGCACAAGAGGCACUCGCUGUCGUCAAGGUGCUUCUCAACACACCCGUCGCCCCCAACAACACUUGCACCAGAGGAGGCCGACCUCUUGUGGAGGUGUUUACCAUGCGUGCUGACUCCGGUGUUGUUGACACCAUUUCGGUUUUUGACGGGAGACGUGGCCAGACCAUAUACAGACACCAUGCUAGCCCCACUCCUAUCCACCACUUUUGGUCUUCGUCUCAAGGUCCUAACGAUUUGGUACUCACUGGACCAUAUAGAGCCAUCUCAGCGGAGGGCAGCUUCGCCAUCCAAGUCGACAGCAUCAUCUCCAGGACAGACGCCUCUGACGAACCUAGUAAAGUCAGUGCUGACAUGUCCUGGGAUUGCUACUCCGGUGAAGCCUCCAUGUACAACAAGGUCUUGACCAACCGCAUCGCCACAGACGACAAAGGCCAACUUGCAGAAGUGGCCUAUGCUGUGUUCAGUGACGCCGUGGAGGUCACCGUCCAAAUAAAGGUGACUAGAGUUGACCCCGCCGACGUUUACGGUAAAAUCACCGCGCACAACCAGCACUACGGCAGCAACAGCAUACUGCUCUUCAGCCGUACAGAUUGGGAUUUCCUUGCAACAAAGGAGGAAAAGAGGCAAGGAAGAAGGCGUGCAAAACUGAGGGCAAGUGGAACUUCCAAUUGCUGGAUUCCACUUACGCGAUCCGUCGUUGCGGUGCCAUUAGGCUCGCCGCUUGAGAUAAGGGUCAAUUUGUAUGCAUGUCCAUCCGAAUAUGGGCUUACUGAUUAUUUCAAGGAGGAUAUAGAUUUUUCUCUCAUAGAUCAGCAUGUGGGGCAAAUCAAAAGGCACCAUGUGGUGGUUCGAGUGACCUCGCUGGACAUCUGCACUCUCCCGGAACAAAGUCACACAACACUGCCUACGCUCGCCAUGACCUGGGUUCCAGGGGUGACAAGUAUGAGGACGGGGGCAGGAAUGCCCAUCGAGCAGCCUGCACAUGUGUAUAUGGACUUCAACUGUGGCAGUGGUAAGUACAGUGCAUUCAUGGACGACUUGUGUGAAAAGCUUGCGGAGCACCCGGGCAAAGCUGCUGUCCAUGGGCGGCCUGUCCUCGCCAGGCAGCGGCGUGGAAAGCCAACGAGGCUGUUUAUGAUCAGGCUAGCGGGUGACAGAGAUUAUGAAUGGGUAACUCUGGCCGUUCGGGACGACAACUUGUGCCUCGUUGGCUUCCAAACUCCGGACGGGAGGUGGCACGAGUUCGGCUCCGGCUCCAUAACUUGUCUCCAAGAGUCCACCUUUUUAGGGUCCAAUGGAAGCUAUGAUAGCUUAUUAGGUGAAUCUGGAGACCGGUGGCAAGAGCUGAAGCUGGGCAGGAAGUCCGCAACAGAUGCCAUAGGAAAGCUCUCGGCGUACGAGGACCGAGUGGGCGUAGUAGUUGAUCAAGACACCAAAGUGGAUUUGGCUCGCCUGAUGGUCAUGAUAUGCGAGGCCGCACGGUUGGCAGAAAUCUACGACAUGGUGAAGAAAGGAUGGGAAGACGGAAUCUGUAUCACCGACCGGCAGGUACAGCACAUAGAUAACUGGGACAAUAUUUCUCGCGUUCUGCUUGGCAGAAGAAGGAGAGUCAGAAACAUAGGUUUGAAGAAGGAAGACGACGCGGCAGCUGUAGUGAAGAUGGUGCUUAACCCUUUCCGUCCCCUUGUGGAGGUGUUUGGCCUGCGUGCUUACCCUAGUUUCAGUGGCACCAUCUCCGCCGUGGACGACAAAGGAAGCAAGGUCGUCAUUUACAACAAGGACCCUCAAGCCAAACGAGAUGAUACUCCGUCCUCUCAGACGCAAACUCAGAGUAAUAUCGAUUGUCACCACAAAGAAGCACAGGAGGAUUUGCCACCUGCUGUAACGUACAGACCCAUCUCAGCUGACGGGGAGUUCUACAUUCAAGUCAGUGGCAAUUCCACCACACAUACCUCCCGUCUCACCUUGGUAUGGGAUGGUCAUUCCGAUAAAGCUGCGUACAACAUCAUCAACACACACCAAAUCAGCAUAGGCAGCUCCAAAGCUGAACUAACGUAUGCGGUGCUCCACGAUGCCGUGGAGGCCACCGUGAAGGUCCAGCUGAAUCUCAAGGAACCCGAAGAAGCUGGCACCGUCACCGGCGUGUACGGUGAAAUCACCGCGACCAACCAGCACUACAAGAACAAGAGCAUCCUGCUCUUCAGCCAUCCAAAGGAACAGGCAGUAAAACCCGAGGUCAAUGCCUCGGAUGCCGUUUCAAUUUCACUCAAGUUGAUGAGGGGUUUCAUUGUGGCGUCACUUGAGCGCUUGCUUGUGAUAAAGGUUAGCUUGCGUGCUGUGUGCUCCAGCUAUGAGGAACCCAUAUGCUUCGAGCAAGAAGUGAGUUUCGACCCCAAUAUGGGUACCGCGCAAACAGCGAAGAUCGAUGCACCCACUAUGGAGGCUCAAGUGAUGUUCAUCACCAACGAGCGAAAUGCGCCCAGCCAGGGAAGGGUAAAGCAAUGGCGCCGGCGACCACGCGCGAGUGCCGCAAUACUCCCCAACACUACUACUGCGGGAUGA